This is a long non-coding RNA of Bufo bufo (common toad), 472 nucleotides long. RefSeq lists it as uncharacterized. The transcript has 2 exons. NCBI's taxonomy places the organism in Eukaryota, Metazoa, Chordata, Amphibia, Anura, Bufonidae. The record is from RefSeq and is a predicted model, not a curated record.
AGACCAAACUACUUCGGAGCAACCGUAUUCACCCCGUCAUCUGAGGCAGAGGAACCAAGGAAAGUCAGGACAUCAUCCGAAUACUGCCAUUCUAGGAAAAAGGUUAAAGGUAUACAUCGAGAGGACGCAUUUCGGCCCGUCCAGCCUUCAUCAGCUACUACAGAAAUGUGAUACACAGUCUAUAAUCACAGUUACAAAAGCCACGUGAAGUGACAUCAAACGCCCAAACGGAGCGCUGUUAACAAGACACAAACCUGAUAGAACCAAGUUUGUAGGAAGAACACAUGGAAUCAGGGCAAAACAUAGGAAGAGAAUGUGAGUUCUGUCUCUGAACAAUCCUUAGUAUAUCAUCACAUCAAGGAAGGAUACCGCAAACUUGUAAUGGAUCCAUAUAUCCAGAGUAUGUUACCUGGAGGAAGCUGCCUGAAAAGAAGUAUAUAACAAAAUAAAAUAAAUAUCACUUUACGUCAAA